RNAcentral lists this ribosomal RNA (382 nucleotides) under uncultured eukaryote. Its description in RNAcentral is "partial 18S ribosomal RNA". It matches the Rfam family "Eukaryotic small subunit ribosomal RNA", at positions 592 to 976 of the family's 1831-position model. The record is from RNAcentral.
CAAUAGCGUAUAUUAAAGUUGUUGCAGUUAAAAAGCUCGUAGUUGGAUUUCUGGUUGAAGCGACCGGUCGGGCGUUGAUUCGUCUGCACUGGAGUCGGUUUUGGCCACCCUCUAGGAAAGUGCGUCUGGUAUUAAGUUAUCGGGCGUAUGAUCCUGGUCUUUUACUGUGAAAAAAUUAGAGUGUUUAAAGCAGGCCUUCGCCUUGAAUACAUUAGCAUGGAAUAAUAAGAUAGGACUUUGGUCUAUUUUGUUGGUUUGCAGACCGAAGUAAUGAUUAAUAGGGAUAGUUGGGGGUAUUUAUAUUCCGAUGUCAGAGGUGAAAUUCUUAGAUUUUCGGAAGAUAAACUUAUGCGAAAGCAUUUACCAAGGAUGUUUUCAUUAA